This 569-nucleotide long non-coding RNA is filed under the name Panax ginseng (ginseng). RNAcentral describes it as "long non-coding RNA (PGIN_LNC017806)". The record is from RNAcentral. Lineage: Eukaryota; Viridiplantae; Streptophyta; Magnoliopsida; Apiales; Araliaceae.
UUUCUGAAAAGGUUGAUUUUAUUGUAUUUUAGAUAUUUAGAGUAGUUAAUUGAUUUGGAUUUUAGGCCGAGGAAAAAGAACCAGCUGACGAUGAAGAGUCUGACAAGUCGAGAUCAGAAGUUCACGACGAUGAUGAAGACGAUGAUGAGAGUGGAGAGGUUUGUAUAAAUUUCGUAUAGUUCUCUAAUUCUAAAAUUUAAAAUCUUGAAUUAAUUAUAAUUCGGGUGGAUUAAUAGUUUUUCUUUUUUUGCAGGAUGAUGAUGAUGAUGAUGAGUAAAAAGAAAAAGAAGCAACUGUUGUGGGUUGUGGGAGGUUGGGUUGGAGUUGAUUAUUAGUUGGGAAAUUUGGGUCAGGUGUAGGAUUUCUACAAUAUGGUUAACCUUGGGAAUUAGUCUAUCCUUUAUCCUGAUAAAAUAGAUCCUUUUUAAUAUAUUUUCUUAUCCCUCUUCAGGGAACAACUUGAGUCGAGUAAAAUUGAAGUUAGUUUCAGUAAUAUGUAAUCUGAAGCUUAUAUCUUUGUGUAAUUUAUCCUUCUUAUUAAGAUCAAUGAUAAUUUAGAUAGGUUUUAA